AGAGUUUGAUCCUGGCUCAGGAUGAACUCUAGCGGCAGGCUUAACACAUGCAAGUCGAGGGGCAGCAUGUUCGAACUUUCGGGUUUGGAUGAUGGCGACCGGCGCAAGGGUGCGUAACGCGUGAGCAACUUGCCCUUAUCAGGGGGAUAACCGGUGGAAACGCCGACUAAUACCCCAUGGCAUCGCCUGGAGGCAUCUCCGGGUGAUUAAAGAACUUCGGAUAAGGAUAGGCUCGCGUGACAUUAGCUAGAUGGCGGGGUAACGGCCCACCAUGGCGACGAUGUCUAGGGGUUCUGAGAGGAAGGUCCCCCACACUGGAACUGAGACACGGUCCAGACUCCUACGGGAGGCAGCAGUGAGGAAUAUUGGUCAAUGGUCGGAAGACUGAACCAGCCAUGCCGCGUGAAGGUCACGGCCCUAUGGGUCUUAAACUUCUUUUGCGAGGGAGCAAUAAGGUCCACGCGUGGACUGAUGAGAGUACCUCGCGAAUAGGCAUCGGCUAACUCCGUGCCAGCAGCCGCGGUAAUACGGGGGAUGCGAGCGUUAUCCGGAUUUAUUGGGUUUAAAGGGUGCGUAGGCGGCCUGUUAAGUCAGCGGUGAAAUUCAGGGGCUCAACCUCUGCCGUGCCGUUGAUACUGGCGGGCUUGAAUGCGGAUGCCGUGGGAGGAAUGUGUGGUGUAGCGGUGAAAUGCAUAGAUAUCACACAGAACACCGAUUGCGAAGGCAUCUCACGAAUCCGCUAUUGACGCUGAUGCACGAAAGCGUGGGGAUCAAACAGGAUUAGAUACCCUGGUAGUCCACACCGUAAACGAUGAAUGUUAGGUGUGGGGGCGCAAGCCUCCGUCCCGCAGUUAACACAAUAAGCAUUCCCCCUGGGGGAGUACGGCCGCAAGGUUGAAACUCAAAGGAAUUGACGGGAGCCCGCACAAGCAGUGGAGUAUGUGGUUUAAUUCGACGCAACGCGAAGAACCUUACCAGGACUUGACAUCCCAAGAAGUCGACGUAAUGGUUGAUGUGCCCUUCGGGGAACUUGGUGACAGGUGGUGCAUGGUUGUCGUCAGCUCGUGUCGUGAGAUGUUGGGUUAAGUCCCGCAACGAGCGCAACCCCUACGGUUAGUUGCUACGCAAGAGCACUCUAGCCGGACUGCCGUUGACAAAACGGAGGAAGGCGGGGACGACGUCAAAUCAUCAUGCCCCUUACGUUCUGGGCUACACACGUACUACAAUGGCGAAUACAAAGGGAAGCAAUACCGCGAGGUGGAGCAAAUCCCAUAAAAAUCGCCUCAGUUCGGACUGCAGGCUGCAACUCGCCUGCACGAAGUUGGAAUUGCUAGUAAUCGCGGAUCAGCAUGCCGCGGUGAAUACGUUCCCGGGCUUUGCACUAACCGCCCGUCAAG
This 1397-nucleotide ribosomal RNA is filed under the name uncultured bacterium. RNAcentral describes it as "partial 16S ribosomal RNA". It matches the Rfam family "Bacterial small subunit ribosomal RNA". The record is from RNAcentral.